GUUUUCACUAGCCAUGACGUUCUUCCGAAAACUUGACUUUCUCCUCGUCAUACUUCUUGCCCCGCUUUUAUGUUCAGCAGCUUUGGAGACAGUGGGACUGUCAGAGGGAGACGGCACUUGAUUAAAUCUGCCUCCCGCUGAGCUUUGAUAAUUUCAACCGUCGAUCAAGACCGGGUGGAAAAUGGAGGGACGCUGGACCUACAGCAAUGCUUUGUUUACGGUUUGUGUAUCUCCAAAGUUUGAAAGGCUGGAUUCCAGAAUGUGACUGCGCACAAGGAUUCAAAGGUGCAGAAGAUUUAAGAAGACCAAAGAAUAUGCAGCACCAGGACAGAUUAAGAACAAAUUUAGGACCCAUGCUCAAAAAUCUCAAAACAUUGUUGCAGGGCCACCAUUGUGAUGUUCAGCGACCUCAUCUGCGCCAAUCUGCCAACAAAAACCACGACAGACCUAGAUAACGCCGAAAACUGCUCGAACUCACAAUCGUGUUGAGAGAAGACGAACAAAUGCUUGCUGAGAAACAUCACAAAGCUGAAGUGAGUCAGAGACACUGUUCAAUGAAGUCAAUGGACUUUCAUGAUCUCUGGCAUACAUUUGACGCGCUCAAAGGCCCCUUGCUCGUAUGGGUUUAUCGCCCCCCUCAUCUGACGCAAAAGUGGAGAUGAUGUGUAGGAUUACAUUGAUGGCUUUCAUCAGGUCCUAACCCAACAGCAGCCUCAUGAAAGGGAAUACAAGGUGUAGCGCUGGCGUCUGGAGACACUGGAGUGUGUGGGACGGCUCUGUGAUGUGUCCUUCCCAAUCAUCCUCACCGAUAAACUUCGCUAAGGGCUCAGCCGAUGAAGGAGGCAGUUCUUUUCUUUUUAUAAUUGUCUUCAUUUCAGAGCCGCUGAAUGGGGUUGAACAUGGAGGAACGCUGUCAAAGCUUUGUUUACGGCGUUCACAAGACUUCUCUGACUCUGGCCUUCGGUGAAGUGUUUCGAGGUCUUGUUUGAAAGAGACUAACAGAAUAAAGUGGAACAGCCUCUUGAAGGGCUCGGCUCCUUUUUACAGACAGAUGGACCAGAAAGUGAGAGAGAGGACACCUGCUGGUCACACUGCAACCCCCCUUCCCGGUUCUUCUUUUCUCUUCUUUCUCUCUCUCUGCUUUCUCAUUUGCUCCUGCAUUAGAAUUCAGCUUCUCGUCUGACUGAGUGGGUUACUGAAGCGUGUCACAGUAAGAACCGGCGAAUGAUAAUGAACUGAACGUGUGCGAGAGGGAGGGGCCGAGGGUGGAGAUGGGAGAGGAUUCCGGUAAGCAGCUUCUCGCUGCGAGAGAAAGAGAGCGAGAGACGAGGCUGUCGACUGAAUCACCAACACCUCCGCCACUUCACCACCCCUUUCUCUCUCCGCUCGGCACGGGGGAGUGAGUGUGGGUCGGGACGCCCCGCUACGUUCCCUCUCCCCCUCCGCCGUCCUCCACCGGCAGACCCACUUCUCCAAAUGAAUCCAUUCAUCAUAUUCUCUUUUUGUCAUUUUCAUGUCAGCCUCCCUCUGCUGUAUUACGGUUAUCAUUAUUUUAUGUUCUCUGCUUCUCUCUCCCCUGUUCUUUUUUCAAGCGCUCCCACACGCCGCUAUCCCACUCGUUUUGUCACGGCCGAGGAAAAGAAAAUGAUCGGCCGGAGAGCCCGUAGAGGCAAAGACGAACGUCAGAGCGAGGAGAGCUGUGUCCGGACGGGUAGCCAAAAGAUAGAAGCGGCACUGGCAGAAGCCUCUUCUUCUGAUGGAUUAUCCCGAGUGGAGAACUCCGAACGGGGACAAAACGACAAGAAGAGAAGACAUGAGCAGCGCUGAAAACACGUUUGGAGAGGGACUUUGUGAAGAACUGAUCUUUUUCUUUUCUAAAAUAUAAAAUGCAGAUAUUUCUCUGUUCAACUUGCUCUCAUGUGUUUUAGUUUCUUCGGUCCGAAUGCUCCCCCCGUCUUGUUCGGGACGUUUUGCGACUCAUUGUGAAGAAUUCUCUGGACUGUGUGCUGAAAAGCACUUUUCAAUCGAACAAAUUCCUUUCUAAACACCUAAAAGAGCCCUCUUUUCUUCAUCUUCUCUCUUCUAUUGAGACCAAAAUAAUUGGAGCUGCAGACUCCACUGUAAUCUUGCCGUAGGAGCAAGUUGGGCCAAUCCGGACGCAACACCUGGAGCCAUUUUCUUCUCAAAUCACUUCAUUAUAUUGUGGGGGGGCACCAACCACCCAAGCCUUGGGUCUUAGUGAUCCGGAUGUGCUGGAGAGAAAGUUAAAAAGAAAUGGAGAAAGAGAGACCUCCAAGAAGAUGAAAGCAGAGGUGAUAUUUUCAGAACAGAAAUGGGUGAAGAGAAAGUCGGCCAUAUCUGAGAAGACGUCACAACAGAUUGGUUCAUGAAACAAUACGCUGAAAAGUUGCAGUGUAGACGCACAACACAGUUAGAAUAGAUGAAUUAUCUCUUCUGUUAGUGCCAAGUUUAAAGAUAAAGCGUUGCGUUUUGCACUCACAGAAGAAACUUGGCCAAGUCUGGGAUCCUUUUUUUCUCACUGUAUUGUACUUUUUCCCAGCCUUUCUCCCCCCAUGUUAAGUCAUUCACUGGGGCACUUUGCACCCCCCCCCCCCCUCGCUGCAAGCUGAAAGCUGUUGAUCGCUAAUCCACGGCUAUUUCAUCAGAUCCUCUCACUGAUUUCUACAUUGAUUGGCUGUCUACUUCAGAACCUCUCCGGCUCCCUCCUCUCGCUUUUUCACUUUCCUUCAUCCACUUCUCGCUCUCUCUCCCCCUCCCUCCCUCUCCCUCUCUCUCCCUCCCUCCCUCUCUCACUCGCCCUGCCUCAUUGUCUCUGUGUGCGGCAACGGUGCCUCUGGAAGCCAGUCUGUUCCACCGCUCGCCCGAUAGAGGA
This is a long non-coding RNA of Triplophysa dalaica, 2893 nucleotides long. RefSeq lists it as uncharacterized. The record is from RefSeq and is a predicted model, not a curated record. The transcript is spliced from 5 exons. Lineage: Eukaryota; Metazoa; Chordata; Actinopteri; Cypriniformes; Nemacheilidae.